UUUUUAGAAAGUAGAAAAUAAAAGAGAAAUAAUGCAAUUGGUCCCAUAAUUUUUGGACCAAUAAUGAAAGAGAUAUGGAUUUUAGAAAUAAAAUGGAAUUAAAAGAAAUAAAAGAAAAUAGAAAUUAGAAAUUAAAAAUUAGAGAAAAGGAGAGGCGUUGGAUGAUGGCUCAUUAAUUGAGCUGGCAUAUCACAUGCCUCUCAGGCG
This 207-nucleotide long non-coding RNA is filed under the name Lathyrus oleraceus (garden pea). RNAcentral's name for it is "Pisum sativum (pea) long non-coding RNA (PSAT_LNC005996)". Lineage: Eukaryota; Viridiplantae; Streptophyta; Magnoliopsida; Fabales; Fabaceae. The record is from RNAcentral.